CAGGGCCUCACUAUGUUGCUAAGACUGGCCUCCAACCCCAGCAAUCCCCUGCCUCAGUCUCUUGAGUCGCUGGGAUUACAGGACCCCCUGUUCUCCAGCAUUUAUUGAGGACCUGUUCUGAGUUGUUCUGGAAAGACAGAGAUGUGUGAGACCCUGUCACCACCCUCGAGUAGCUCAUAUCUAACUGGGAGAAAUAGACAUAAAUAGUUGUAAGAUACUGUGGCCAUGGGAUGCGCAUUCGUGAAACAGGUCUCCUUCAGUUGCGCAGGCUGCCCUUGAACCUGCAAUCCUCCUGCCUUGAACUUGCAAUCUUCCUGCCUCAACCUCCUGAGUAGCUGGGAUUACAGAUGCACAACAUCACACCCUGCCAGUCAAGUUCUUCUUAACACAAGGAAAAAAAAUGCAUUUGUGUAAGUUGCCUAAAUAACUGAUACUGUGCAUGGAUUCUGGCUGUCCAAAAAUCCAGCAGAUGGUUUUGAGAAAAAAAUAUGAACAAAUAAUAAAGGUACCAAAAUGCAGAGUACUUUGAUAGAUGCAAAAUGAGAAGACAGCCAAACAAGGGAGAAAAAAAGGAAAAGAAAUGAAUACAGCAGAGGGAAGCUAUGGAAAGCUUUCGCAUGGCACUCCUUGAUUCUUCCAGUUCUUUCGUCAAGAGCGCAGCCUCCUAGAAUCAGCCAGCUCAGACCUGGAACCCACUUACUUAUUAGGGACAAUGAAAAAAUUACUGGAAGUUUCUGAACCCACCUUCUCCAGAGGGUUCUUCAACUGGGGAUUGAAUUCAGGGGCAUUUAACCACUGAGCCACAUCCCCAGCCUUUUUUUUUUUCCACACAUUAUUUAGAAACAGGGUCUCACUGAGUUGCUUAGGACCUUGCUAAGUUGCAGAGGCUGGCUUUGAACUCCUGAUCCUCCUGCCAAGACACUGGGAUUUCAAUGCUACCGCUCCUGGCUCCCCAAAUAAUUCUUGAGAGAAUGACUUGAGUGACAUAAGGUCAGGAAGUCUCUCACCCUGUGGUAGUGGUGGGUGGAUACAUAGUGAAUACCCCUGAGGGUCUAUGGGACGAUCUUCAGGGUUUUAUUCCUGCAACUCUGUCCCCCCAGUGUCCACCCCAGGGAAGAAGGUUCUGAUGACUUCUCCAGGCCACCCAUGCAAGUUAGGUGAAAGACGAAGGGACACGUCUCAGAACUCCAAACUGCAUCUCCAGCUGUGCUCUGCCCGGGUGGGAGAGAGGGACCGAAGCAGGUGGACAUUCAUAUUUGCACAGUGACUAGCCUACUGCAGUUCAGGAAUGGACACUACCUGGCCUUUGCCUCUGUUGUAAACCUGACUGAAUAGGGAAAAACAAGCACCAGUGUGGGUAUGUUAACACCAAUUGUAGCCUUUUGUCAAUCAGCUUCUUUGCAUCUGGACUUCAAACACGUGUUUACCGCAUUUGUUCAGGUAAAAUAACGCUGGGAGGAGGGUUGAGAUUCCCUGUACUUCCCCAUAUGGUGUCUUGUGAAAUCCACACAGCCCACCAGCAGGGUCUGUAGCUACAAUCUCACCAUCCCAAGUGUACAGGAAAGAUAUUGAUAAGAAGAAACUCACCCCAGCUCCCUCCAUGACAUCCGAAACAGGGCUGACCUUUAUCUAACUACACCCAAGGCUAUUUGCCCAACACUUAGGCAGUAGCUUGGAGAAUCCAGAGUGGUGCCAAGUACCAGGAAGUCCUGUAAAGACAGCUAAAGUACACACAGCAUCGACUUUAUGCACUUAAGUGAAUAUAUUUUAUUCAUAGGCCAUCUUUCAGGGCCUGGCUCUGAGUAUUGGCUUUUUUCUUUUCUUUUCUUUUCUUUUCCUGCAUGAAGCAGAAAGAUAGCAAGAUGUAAGUAUCUGAGAUGUAAGUAAAUCUCAUUGUCUCCCAAUGGUGUUGCCUAACAGCAGUAAUUUAGUUGGGACAUCCUCGCUGGACCACUUGCAACCUAUUUGAUUUGGUCCUCCUGCCUCCAUCUCCCCAACACCUCAUCCAACCACCUUGGCAGGGUCUAGAAUCUUAGUAUGAAGAGAAUAAUUGUUUAGUUCCAGCUGGAAGGAUAAAAAAGAAAAGGUUUAUCAUGAUUCCCAAAACUAGAAAUUAAGAAAUAGGUUUAUAACUCAAGUUUAAGGAAUCUCAGGCCUACCGCAGAUUCAGAUUUGAAUGGAGAAUCCCUUUGUGAAUGAAUUUGACUUGAUAAUUUCCUUGGAAGAAAUUCUUUGAAAAAUAUGCAAGUGUGAUCAAAGAAAAUACAUGUUCUUCUGUUUUCCAUUCCUAGAAAAUAUCAUGGGGGCAGUUCAUUUUGUAUAUAGGAUCAUUGACACAUGAAGGAUUUUUAAAAACUGAGAUCUGAUGCUUACUCUAUCUG
This is a long non-coding RNA of Marmota monax (woodchuck), 2381 nucleotides long. RefSeq lists it as uncharacterized. The record is from RefSeq and is a predicted model, not a curated record. NCBI's taxonomy places the organism in Eukaryota, Metazoa, Chordata, Mammalia, Rodentia, Sciuridae. The transcript is spliced from 3 exons.